RNAcentral lists this ribosomal RNA (836 nucleotides) under uncultured bacterium. RNAcentral describes it as "bacterial SSU rRNA". It matches the Rfam family "Bacterial small subunit ribosomal RNA", at positions 27 to 857 of the family's 1533-position model. The record is from RNAcentral.
GGAUGAACGCUAGCGGCAGGCUUAAUACAUGCAAGUCGAGGGGCAGCAUGAGUGUAGCAAUACAUUUGAUGGCGACCGGCAAACGGGUGCGGAACACGUACAGAACCUUCCUUCGAGCGGGGAAUAGCCCAGAGAAAUUUGGAUUAAUACCCCAUAGUAAAUUGAAAAGGCAUCUUUUUAAUUUUAAAGAUUUAUCACUUGAAGAUGGCUGUGCGGCUGAUUAGGUAGUUGGCGGGGUAACGGCCCACCAAGCCUACGAUCAGUAACUGGUGUGAGAGCACGACCAGUCACACGGGCACUGAGACACGGGCCCGACUCCUACGGGAGGCAGCAGUAAGGAAUAUUGGUCAAUGGACGAAAGUCUGAACCAGCCAUGCCGCGUGGAGGAUGAAGGUCCUCUGGAUUGUAAACUUCUUUUAUCUGGGACGAAAAAGGGGCUUUCUAGCUCAACUGACGGUACCAGAUGAAUAAGCACCGGCUAACUCCGUGCCAGCAGCCGCGGUAAUACGGAGGGUGCAAGCGUUAUCCGGAUUCACUGGGUUUAAAGGGAGCGUAGGUGGGUUGGUAAGUCAGUGGUGAAAUCUCUGAGCUUAACUCGGAAACUGCCAUUGAUACUAUCAAUCUUGAAUACCGUGGAGGUCAGCGGAAUAUGUCAUGUAGCGGUGAAAUGCUUAGAUAUGACAUAGAACACCAAUUGCGAAGGCAGCUGGCUACACGAAUAUUGACACUCAGGCUCGAAAGCGUGGGGAUCAAACAGGAUUAGAUACCCUGGUAGUCCACGCCCUAAACUAUGGAUACUCGACAUACGCGAUACACUGUGUGUGUCUGAGCGAAAG